Vicia villosa (hairy vetch) is the source of this 368-nucleotide long non-coding RNA. RefSeq lists it as uncharacterized. The record is from RefSeq and is a predicted model, not a curated record. Lineage: Eukaryota; Viridiplantae; Streptophyta; Magnoliopsida; Fabales; Fabaceae. The transcript is spliced from 3 exons.
GAGUUUUGGAAAGAAAGAAGUACCCACUUCCUUCGUGCACAAAGUUUUCGCGCACAGUAUCCACUUCCUUUAACCUAACAUAGUCUUCUUCUCCCUCCGAUCGAUUCAGUCCUCUUCUUCUACCUCAGUCCUCUUCUUCCUCUGAUUUAUUCACUUUUUGCCUCCGAUUUCCACCGAAUAGAAAGAACGAAGAAAACUCAAUCGCCGUCGAACUCAACCUUCGCCAGCUCACCACCGUCAUCUUUCUGUUCAUUGGUAUCUGGUCAUUGGAAACAAAUGGGAUUUCUAUCACAAUUUUCUCCAAGCUGAUUACACUGAAGGAUUGGUGAAAGAAAGAAGAUUUGUAAAUCUGUUGGAAAGCAAGGUAA